UACGAAGGGGGCUAGCGUUGUUCGGAAUUACUGGGCGUAAAGCGUGCGCAGGCGGUGAUGUAAGACAGAUGUGAAAUCCCCGGGCUCAACCUGGGAACUGCAUUUGUGACUGCAUCGCUGGAGUGCGGCAGAGGGGGAUGGAAUUCCGCGUGUAGCAGUGAAAUUCGUAGAUAUGCGGAGGAACACCGAUGGCGAAGGCAAUCCCCUGGGCCUGCACUGACGCUCAUGCACGAAAGCGUGGGGAGCAAACAGG
This 253-nucleotide ribosomal RNA is filed under the name uncultured bacterium. RNAcentral describes it as "partial 16S ribosomal RNA". It matches the Rfam family "Bacterial small subunit ribosomal RNA", at positions 524 to 776 of the family's 1533-position model. The record is from RNAcentral.